Long non-coding RNA from Aricia agestis (brown argus), 1251 nucleotides. RefSeq lists it as uncharacterized. The transcript has 3 exons. Lineage: Eukaryota; Metazoa; Arthropoda; Insecta; Lepidoptera; Lycaenidae. The record is from RefSeq and is a predicted model, not a curated record.
UAAAUUACUAACCUCGACAAUAACAAUCCAAAAUUACUAAAUGUUGUUGUAAAAAACUAAACUAAUAUGAAUUUCCAUCAAACCCUUAUUAGACUUAUAUAGGAACAACAUAAUAUAUUUAUUCAUAUGCAUAUGUGUGACUGUUAUAAAGAUGGCUUGAAAAACAAAAGGAAAGAAAGACGUCGAAAAAGGAAACGUAAAAGACAAACAUUUUGUAAAAAGUUAAGACGCAGAUUCUGCCGUUGGUUUUGUAGAAAAAUCAGAAGAUGCAUUAAAAGGGCUAUUUUUGGUGAUCCCGAUCCAAGUUUACAUGAUAUUGAAAUUGCAGGUGUUAAUUUUGGAACAGCAAGAAGUAAAAUAAAGAAUGUGAAGGAUAAAAUGAAGAUUAGAAAGUCUUUUAAACCGAAAAAUAAAAGUACUGAUACCCAUGUCGACAAACAAACUUCGAUACUUACUAAGUCCAUAGCUAUUAAAAGCAGCAAAUCCAAAAUAGGAGUAAGAAAAUUGAAAAGUAAACUUAAAAACAAGUUUUAUAAAAGGUUUAAAGGAUUAAACAAAGAAAUCGAUCUGAAGAAAAAACCUUCGAUUUCUACUAUUUUUAAAAGAAUACCUACGAUUUCAAACGUUUUUGAAAGAUAUGAUUUAAAAGCUAAAUCUAUUUCUUUGAUAAAGGUUGUUCAAAGUGAAAUUGAUAAGUAUUCGCUAUCAGAUACUUUAAAAGACCUUAAAAGUAUAACUGGCAUCAGUCGUAUUCUAUACCCCGAAGACCCCAAGGUUGAAAAUAGCAAUGUAAAAAAAAAAGAUAAAGAAAUUACCCAAAUAUUCGAUAAUUCUAACUUCGUCGAAAAGAAAUCAGAACAAAGUCUUUUUAAAUACUACAAAAUUAAAAAAUACAACUCAAAACAGAAAAGCGAUCAUGUGCCUUUUCAAAAACAAUCUAUGUUCAAGCAACUGAAAUCAGACUUGAGGUCGAAAAUUGGUUUCCUUUAAGAGAACAGUAAUGGAAGUUUUGAAUUAGCAAAAUUAAUAGUUCUAGCAUAAAUUACAAGAAGAAAUUAAUGAAACAUUGAAAUUUUAAUGGGAUGAUAAAAAUGCAUGCCUAUUAUUCUGGUCUACUCGUGAUUCUCGUCUUGCACAAAACAUUCCAGCAAGAGUGUAAAUGCAAAAAAGCAGCUCGACCAGAGGCUCAAAAGAAUAAUGAAGGAAGAGUAGACACACCUAAAAAGAAAUGUUGCCCGUAUAAUUUCGAUG